AACGCACAUUGCGCCCGCCAGUAUUCUGGCGGGCAUGCCUGUCCGAGCGUCAUUUCAACCCCUCAAGCUCCGCUUGGUGUUGGGGCCCUACGUGCGCCGUAGGCCCCGAAUUCCAGUGGCGGGCUCGCCGCGAUCCCGAGCGCAGUAGCAUAACCUCGCUCAGGGCGCCGCGGCGGGCGCCGGCCGUGAAAAAAACCCACUGUACCAAAGGUUGACCUCGGAUCAGGUAGGAAUACCCGCUGAACUUAA
Molecule: unclassified non-coding RNA, 249 nt
Filed under: uncultured fungus
Lineage: Eukaryota; Fungi
Description: partial contains 5.8S ribosomal RNA, internal transcribed spacer 2, and large subunit ribosomal RNA
Rfam family: 5.8S ribosomal RNA (bases 1-52)
Source: RNAcentral